RNAcentral lists this ribosomal RNA (522 nucleotides) under uncultured bacterium. RNAcentral describes it as "bacterial SSU rRNA". It matches the Rfam family "Bacterial small subunit ribosomal RNA", at positions 777 to 1314 of the family's 1533-position model. The record is from RNAcentral.
AAUAGAUACCCGGUAGUCCACGCCGUAAACGAUGGAUACUAGUUGUUGGAGGACUCGACCCCUUCAGUGACGACGCUAACGCAUUAAGUAUCCCGCCUGGGGAGUACGGUCGCAAGAUUAAAACUCAAAGGAAUAGACGGGGACCCACACAAGCGGUGGAGCACCUGGCUUAAUUCGAUACUGAGCGAGGAACCUUACCUGGACUUGACAUCCCGAGAAUUCUCUAGAAAUAGGGAAGUGCCUUCUGGAACUCGGUGACAGGUGCUGCAUGGUUGUCGUCAGCUCGUGCCUUGAGGUGUUCGGUUAAGUCCGUAAACGAGCGCAACCCAUGUCCUGUGUUGUAUUUCUCACAGGAGACUGCCGAUUCAAAAUCGGAGGAAGGUAUGGAUGACGUCAAAUCAGCAUGGCCCUUAUGUCCAGGGCUGCACAGGUGCUACAAUGGAUGGUACAACGGGUAGCAAUGCCGCAAGGCGAGCCAAUCCUUAAAGCCAUCCCAAGUUCGGAUUGGGGGCUGCAACUCCG